ACGCUCGACACCUACUGGAGGCAGCAGUAGGGAAUCUUCCACAAUGGGCGCAAGCCUGAUGGAGCAACACCGCGUGAGUGAAGAAGGGUUUCGGCUCGUAAAGCUCUGUUGUUGGAGAAGAACGUGCGUGAGAGUAACUGUUCACGCAGUGACGGUAUCCAACCAGAAAGUCACGGCUAACUACGUGCCAGCACGCCGACGGUAAUCUGAGGCCGGGCGUGGACGAAGGC
Molecule: ribosomal RNA, 230 nt
Filed under: uncultured bacterium
Lineage: Bacteria
Description: partial 16S ribosomal RNA
Rfam family: Bacterial small subunit ribosomal RNA
Source: RNAcentral